This 305-nucleotide ribosomal RNA is filed under the name uncultured bacterium. Its description in RNAcentral is "bacterial SSU rRNA". It matches the Rfam family "Bacterial small subunit ribosomal RNA", at positions 333 to 631 of the family's 1533-position model. The record is from RNAcentral.
GAUUUCCUACGGGGCGCAGCAGUAGGGAAUUUUCGUCAAUGGGCGCAAGCCUGAACGAGCAAUGCCGCGUGAACGAGGAAGGUCUUCGGAUCGUAAAGUUCUGUUGAAGGGGAAAAAGAGCGGAGAGAGGAAAUGGUCUCCGAUUGAUAUUACCCUUCGAGGAAGUCACGGCUAACUACGUGCCAGCAGCCGCGGUAAUACGUAGGUGGCGAGCGUUAUCCGGAAUGAUUGGGCGUAAAGGGUGCGCAGGCGGUGCGUCAAGUCUGAAGUAAAAGGUACAGGCUCAACCUGUGCAGGCUUUGGAA